UACGAAGGGGGCUAGCGUUACUCGGAAUUACUGGGCGUAAAGGGCGCGUAGGCGGCUUGGUAAGUCAGGCGUGAAAUUCCCGGGCUCAACCUGGGGACUGCGCUUGAGACUGCUGGGCUAGAGGAUGGAAGAGGGUCGUGGAAUUCCCAGUGUAGAGGUGAAAUUCGUAGAUAUUGGGAAGAACACCGGUGGCGAAGGCGGCGACCUGGUCCAUUACUGACGCUGAGGCGCGACAGCGUGGGGAGCGAACAGG
RNAcentral lists this ribosomal RNA (253 nucleotides) under uncultured bacterium. RNAcentral's name for it is "partial 16S ribosomal RNA". It matches the Rfam family "Bacterial small subunit ribosomal RNA", at positions 524 to 776 of the family's 1533-position model. The record is from RNAcentral.